GGAGGGGUGGCAGAGCGGUUGAAUGCACCGGUCUUGAAAACCGGCGACUGUAACAGGUCCGAGAGUUCGAAUCUCUCCCCCUCCGCCA
Molecule: transfer RNA, 88 nt
Filed under: Pseudomonadales bacterium
Lineage: Bacteria; Pseudomonadati; Pseudomonadota; Gammaproteobacteria; Pseudomonadales
Also listed under: 3 other names
Description: tRNA-Ser
Rfam family: tRNA
About the family: Transfer RNA (tRNA) molecules are approximately 80 nucleotides in length.
Source: RNAcentral